This is a long non-coding RNA of Gopherus evgoodei (Goodes thornscrub tortoise), 5535 nucleotides long. RefSeq lists it as uncharacterized. The record is from RefSeq and is a predicted model, not a curated record. NCBI's taxonomy places the organism in Eukaryota, Metazoa, Chordata, Testudines, Testudinidae. The transcript is spliced from 3 exons.
GCUACUUUAAGAGAAGUGCUGGGUCCUGCAGUGUAGAAAGACUGCAAUUGCUCUGGCGUGGAGAGCAUCCUCGGCUGCAGCCAGUCCACCCACUGCAAUGGCUACUCCCAAAGAUACGGCACACCAGAAAUCAAGGAUCAAAGACAUGGGGAAAUUCUAGCAAAACAAAUCCGUGCUAUGCAGCAGCAUCUGCGAAGCAGCCAGUGAACCAAGAAGUCCAUUACUUGCCCAGUCCUGCCUGCAGUGCCUUCUUUCCUUAUGGGCUCUGGACCUGCCCCAUCUCCAUCUCUGCAGAACCAAACCUUUGGCGGUUUAGCAAGCUUCCCUUGACCUCAUCACUGUCACCAGAGACAAGAAUCAAGCCCUGUGGGAACUGGCUGCUCCUAACCAGACAGAGCAGUUUCUGGCAGCCAGAGCCAUAGAGGUGACUAAUCAAUCUAGUGUCAACAGCUGACACAGUUCAGCUCCACUCCAGCUGCAUCCUGUCAAAACCCCGGCAAAGAAAACCAAUCGAGAGACGCUGCAGGAACAAUGCAAAGUUGGGCAGGAGGAAGGGGGGGGCCCAGGAUGGGUCCAGUGCAGUUACCACAGUGUAAACCAACAGCCAGGGAGACUGUGUGCUCUGAGCUGGUCCCAGCAGGCGUGAGAGCAGAUUAGGGUGCCCCCUGCACAGCGCAGAGCUCACCAGGGGAUUUGUCAGAGACCAAAGGUUUUCGUGGUGUUGUAACUCGACUUCAUGAACACAGCUGCGAAUGGGAGGGCGGCCCCUUCACAAACCUGCCGUAGGAAAGGAAGGUUUCUUCCUGGGUGUGGUUUGGAACCUCCUGGAUUAGCACUUGCAGCACCGUUAGUUCUAUCUGACCCCCCUUGCCAUGGAUCUGAGUGCCCUGAUCUGUAAAGGCUGUAUCCUGCGAGCCAGGGCAGGACUAUUAUCCCCAGAGGGGAACUGAUGCACCCAGACUAAGUGACUUACCCAGGGUCAUACAGGAAGUCUGUGGCAAAGCAGGGAAUUGAACCUGGCUGUGACCACUGACUCAUCCAUCCUUGUGAACUGACGUAAAGCAGCAAUGUGAGACGUGGUGUUACAACAGCCAAAAGCCCAGACUCAGCCCUGAGCUGUUAGUGAAUGAAACCAGGGUCCGUUCACUGGCUGGGGAAAAUAAACCUUCCUCUAGCUCAGCUGCCUCCUUUGUUGGGCACAGACCGAGCCGGGGAGCGGUAGAAAUAACACUUCGUGAGCCUGUAUUUUAAGACACCAUCUAUGGCCUUUGUUUUCCCAUGUUAAUUCCGCCACCCCACACUCAGCUAUGCUCACUGCAGUUACUGCUGGGGCAGGACCCAGUGGUCAGGAGAGAAAAGGGAAUCCUAGACGACUCAUCGUUUCCUUCGGAGCAGGAAAUCCAGCACCUUUAGCUAGAUUUGGCUUCCACAGAUCGUGCCAGGGCCCUGCACUGAUGCAUGUCGCCAAGGGUUCCACGCGUAACGCCUGCUUUCCUUGUGUCCCUCAGGCAUACAAACCCAUCCCUGUCAUGUUCGCAUCCCCUGCCUGCCCCUAUCCCCUGCCACUGCCGCCUCCUCAGGAUCUUGCCUCUCGGAAGAGCAGGCUGGCGUGCCAUGGUCUCAGCCUCUGGCAGCAGAAAGGGUUAAUCUAUCCCUGCUAUUAUCCACCAGGGCCCACAGGGAGGCAAGGCAGGGAACAGCCUGUUUUCCUGCCGGAAGCGUAAGCUCCUUGGCCAGAUGGCAGAGCUCCUACCCCAGACUCGCCACACUACACUGGAGUAGCUUCAGCUCCCUCUCAAGCAUGUUCAUCUGGGCAGGCUGCAGGGGACCCAGCUCCCAGCCGAACCAACGCCCGGAGCAAGAGAGAGGUCGUCCGGGCCUGCCCAGCUGGGAGGUGCAGCCAGAGGGCGGGAUCACUGGAUUAGAGAGGUGAGGAAGAGGAGGGCUGCUGCAGCUCAGACGAGGCUUUAGUCAUUGAGUGCAUUGUCCUGGCCUCCUAGCAUGACCUCCCCAUCCCACUCCCAACCCGUGGUAACGCAGUAUCUUUACGACCUGCUUCAUGAAUGCCACUGCUGAGCAUGGAUGUGCUUUGCUAGAAUCCCCAUUUCAGUGGGGUUGAAAUCCUGGCCCCUGCAAUGCCAGUGGCCCAGGGGCCACCCACGCAGUGGGGCUGGGGAGGUGCAGGGGCAGACAUGGCGUGGGGAGCGGUGCACCAUGGAGCAACAGCCCUCAUGUGAGCAUGGGCCGGAGCAGAGCUGGCCUUGGCACCCAUCCCGAAGGAGCAGGUCUGUAGCCUGGUGGGCAGAGCGAUCCAGUGCGGGCUUUCACCCCCAGUGAGGGGGCUGGGAGAGCUGAGGGCCAGACUUCGGGGCCCAGCUGCACCGGCUCGCAGGGUGGGGCCAGCUACUGGCAGAGGCUGAGGGAGCCCAGAACUUGCCUUUUGUUUUACCCUUUCCCUGCUAGCUGGAGCAGGAGCAUUAUCCCUGCCCGCGCCGCUCCUGCUCUGGGGGAAGACUAGGCCCAGGGAUGCAGGCAGUAUGCUGGGUCCUGCAGGAGCUUCCAGCAGCUCAGAGGAAACCAGCGUCUCCUCAAAGGAGACAAAGAAACUGACCGUGCACAGGAACCAGACGCCUGAGUUCCCGGCUCAGGAGCGCUAACCCCGGGGGUGUCUGAGCGGAGCACUUACUGCUUGUCCGUUGACAUGGACACAGGUACAGUGAGGCUGGACUCCUGAUCUCUUCCCCCAUGCACAGGCUUAGACGGUGCUGCUGGGUUUCCCCUCUGCCUUGCAUGUGGUUGUGGCUUAGCUGUUAGCAGGGCUGUCUGAGAACAGAUGCUAACAGUCAAUCAGCUGCCCCAGUCAUCCUAGUGGGGAAGCCCUCUGCCCACUCCCUCCCCACCCCCCAAUUAUAACUGGUUCUUACAAGGAGACUGCUCUGGGAGUGGGAGGGGCACUACAAUUUGAGCUCCCUUUAAAUGCUCCUGUGUCCGUUUGGAAUGAUCCCACCCCUCAUGUCUAACCAGCAGCCCAGACUGUCUCUCCCAUUAUCAUCCGCUUCGAAGAGGCUAUUGCAAAUAUGGAGCCAAAUCCAGCACGUCAGCCUCCAGCAAAUCUCCCGGUGCUGUCAGGAGGAAGCGUGAUGCUGAGUGAGGAUUGAAGGGUUUGGCCUUUGAGGGUAAAAAAACCUUCUGGCAGCACAAGAGUGAGCUAGCGGGCGGCGCCUAGCUGGGGGAUGCGCCUUUGACUUCGAGAGCUGUUGUUUCUGACUAGUCAGUGCGAUUGCUGGCUGCAGACGGGGGUUCUGACGGGCGGCUGCUCACAGGGCAGCCCAGGGUGAGGGACGGUGAAUGGGCUGUUAGCAUACACGCAUUUGCCAACACGCUGCAGAGACAGGGUCCAAGCCCGUCUGGUCAGACCAGAGAAGCGUUGAUAGGAAAUCGACAGCUCUGCAGAGGACAUGCUGAUGGCAUAUUGGAUUUGUAUUUAGGGAACCUAAUCUAAAUUUCCAAGAGCCCCAAGUGCUGCCUGCAGCCAGCCUUGUCCCAGCAGACAGAACCAGAAUUGCCCCAUUACCCAUCUGUCCCCUCGUCCUCAGCCACCUGCUCUGGCUUUCCAUACAUCUCUCCCCCUGCUCCCUCCCCUCCUGUUCUGUUCUGGGUUGUUAUACCGCACUCCUCCCCAAAAUACUGUACUCCGGGUAGCGCUCAGACUCAACCCCCGCAUUAUCCCAGCUUACGCAGCUUUAUAAGUACCCUGUGCUGGCCAGUGGCACCCCUGGAGCACCCAUCCUCUGACCCCUUUACUGGCUUCCUGCUUAAUCACCCUCCAUUACCUUCCCUGGCUUUCUGUCCAUCCCCUCCCCAUCAUCCUCUGUCACCUUCCCUGGCUUCCAGUCCAUGCCUAGCCACCUCCUGCGCCACCUUCUCUUGGCUUCCUGCAGAUCUCUUUUAAAGCUGUACCUCUCUGUGGACUCACUCAUCUUUCCCAUGACCCUCUGCAGCUGGGUCGCUCUUCCUUGGGCUACUCGUUUCUGGAAUGGUCUCUUACACACCGCCCCCGCCCCCUGCCUCCUCACUGAGUCACUUCCUUUAGGCUGCCUCUCACUGCAGAUCAUUUUGCGGUGCUGCAUGCACUCCAGGGCUGGUCCCCGGGGCCACACCACUCAGCGAGUACUUCGGUGGGAACCACUGCAGCACACAGACUAGCAGCAUGUGAACCCGGGUGGCACACUGGCACUUGCAGGAGCUGAUCCGUUCAGCCUCCGUUAUCUCACUCCUGAGGAUAUUAGUUAAAACCACCAGCACCCGUUGAAAAUGGUGCCAGUAUUCAGUUCAGUUGCCCUGUACACACAUGCCCAUGAGCUAUCCUUGCUCAUUUUCCCCGAUUCACUGCCUGCCCCAGGGCCAUACUCAUCAGGGCUGGCGCUGGGUCGGUCCCAAGGAGACGUGAGAGUGUAGUGCUUACUGAACUCACUCCCUUUGAUCCACACAAGUUGUAUCUUAAGUUUCUACUUGUUAUGAAUACACUGACAACGGUACCUCUGUGUAGUGUAUCUUCAGCAGCUGGAAAUGUGGAUGGAGACCCCCCCUGCCCAGCCCCCCAUGGCCACCCCAGCAGAAUGGCUGAGCCAGCUAAGGAGAAGAAGGAAGAGGACUGGAGAAGACAUGUCCCAAGAGAUCCUGCAAGUCUCCAGUGCUUCACAUAACGAGCACAGGGCUGAGAGGUUCACCCUUGCAGACAACAUGGACGGGGCAGAGCAGAGAGGAGAAGUAGAGGGAUGUGCAGCAGGCACUGCUUGUGCUUCUCAGGCAGCAGACAGACAUGCUGCUGACUCUGGUGGACCUGCAAGUUCAACAAUCCUCUGCCCACUUCCCUCUGCUGCCCAUGGGUGGCUGAUGACCCGGCUGUUGGGGGAGGCUACCCCCGACCCCUCCCCUUGUGCCCAAGCACAUAACCCUCCCCAUCUGCCCCCUCCCCUGCAGGAGCCCAGAGCACCCCCACUGCAGCUUCUGGCCCCAGCCCCGAUGCGCCAGGCUGCAUGGCCGCGGGGACCAGUCCUGGAGUGCUGGUCGGCUGGGCCAGCACCAUCUGCCAAGUCCCUGUGGGAGGCAGGCCAGCCAGCCUAGGCCAGCCAGGGCAGAGCACUGGGAACUGCAGGAGGGGGCCUGGCCUGGGGGCAGAGAAUGGGCAGGGCCAUGCUAGGCUGUUUGGAGAGGCACAGCCUCUCGCUGUCUACAAUGCCUGCCUGCCUUGCUGCAGCCUCUAGAGAACUGCAUAUCAGGACCUCCCUAUAUUCCACCCCCCACACCUCUGCCUUCUAUGGGGCGUCCAGGGCUGCUGCACAACUCCUACCACUCCACUCUGGGGGAGAGUACAGACAGUCACAGCCGCACAUAUGCCAACCGUGUCUUUCACAGUUCAGCAUUUGUGCAUCUGAAAUAGAAAUGACUGGUCUUUUCCCCUUCAUUUAUUACGUUAUAAAUGAGUUUCUAUCCACGGUGUUAUGCAAUAAAACCGUGGUUUUGGAAACAUCA